GUGGGGAAUAUUGGGCAAUGGGGGCAACCCUGACCCAGCGACGCCGCGUGAGGGAAGAAGGCCUUAGGGUCGUAAACCUCUGUUGUGUGGGAAGAAGGAAGUGACGGUACCACACGAGGAAGUCCCGGCUAACUACGUGCCAGCAGCCGCGGUAAUACGUAGGGGACGAGCGUUGUCCGGAUUUACUGGUCGUAAAGGGGGCGUAGGCGGUCAUUUAAGUCAGGUGUGAAAUGGUUUGGCUUAACCGGAUCAUGCGGAUGAAAGGGGAGGACUGGAGUGCUGGGGAGGCAAGUGGAAUUCCCAGUGUAGCGGUGAAAGGCGUAGAUAUUGGGAAGAACACCGGUGGCGAAGGCGACUUGCUGGCCAGCAACUGACGCUGAGGCGCGAAAGCCAGGGGAGCAAACGGGAUUAGAAACCCCUGUAGUCC
RNAcentral lists this ribosomal RNA (427 nucleotides) under uncultured bacterium. RNAcentral describes it as "partial 16S ribosomal RNA". It matches the Rfam family "Bacterial small subunit ribosomal RNA", at positions 354 to 796 of the family's 1533-position model. The record is from RNAcentral.